GGUUUCGGAUUUUAGGGAUUUAAAUGUACUGCUCGUUAAUUCCUCGUAAUCUGACGUCGAAUGUACGACGUAAUCCUCGUUUAUUCCACGUAGGACAGAAUCGUCGUAAAGACCUCGUAAGGUAAAUUGACGUAAAUACCACGUAAAGUAAAUGACGAAGGAGGCACUCGUUUAUUCCACGUAGGACAGAAUCGUCGUAAAGACCUCGUAAGGUAAAUUGACGUAAAUACCACGUAAAGUAAAUGACGAAGGAGGCACUCGUUUAUUCCACGUAGGACAGAAUCGUCGUAAAGACCUCGUAAGGUAAAUUGACGUAAAUACCACGUAAAGUAAAUGACGAAGGAGGCACUCUUUAAUUCCACGUAGGAUGAUUUCGUCGUAAACACCUCGUAAGGCCACGAGGACUUUACGACGAAAUUAAAAAAGCGGGGCACGCUAAUUCCACGUAAGCC
RNAcentral lists this long non-coding RNA (452 nucleotides) under Brassica napus (rape). RNAcentral's name for it is "long non-coding RNA (BNAP_LNC003534)". The record is from RNAcentral. Lineage: Eukaryota; Viridiplantae; Streptophyta; Magnoliopsida; Brassicales; Brassicaceae.